CGGGGGAGAGAUUCCCAGGCCUGGCUCGGCUGGAGAGCCGCCGGCGAGGGGGGGAGGGGGGUAGGGAGUUGUUUUUAACGUAAAAGCUUUAAAUGUAAAUGUUUCUAUUAAAAAACAUCAGGGAAUGUAACAUUGUUAAACAUUAACUCCCUUUCACACACGCGGGGGUAUGAUACGAAGGGAGAGUUUGAGGCCUAGGUCUAGGUUUUAGGCCUAGCUGUAGGCCUUAGGCCACCGUGAGUUAAUUGUUAAUAUAAAUGUUUUAAUUAUUUAUGUAAAAGCUUUAAAUGUAAAUGUUGCUAUUUAAAAACAUCAGGGAAUGUAACAUUGUUAAACAUUAACUCCCUUUCACACACGCGGGGGUACGAUACGAAGGGAGAGUUUGAGGCCUAGGUCUAGGCUUUAGGCCUAGCUGUAGGCCUUAGGCCGCCGUGAGUUAAUUGUUAAUAUAAAUGUUUUAAUUCAUGUAAAAGCUUUAAAUGUAAAUGUUGCUAUUUAAAAACAUCAGGGAAUGUAACAUUGUUAAACAUGAACUCCCUUUCACACACGCGGGGGUACGAUACGAAGGGAGAGUUUGAGGCCUAGGUCUAGGCUUUAGGCCUAGCUGUAGGCCUUAGGCCGCCGUGAGUUAAUUGUUAAUAUAAAUGUUUUAAUUAUUUAUGUAAAAGCUUUAAAUGUAAAUGUUUCUAUUAAAAAACAUCAGGGAAUGUAACAUUGUUAAACAUUAACUCCCUUUCACACACGCGGGGGUACGAUACGAAGGAGAGUUUGAGGCCUAGGUCUAGGCUUUAGGCCUAGCUGUAGGCCUUAGGCCGCCGUGAGUUAAUUGUUAAUAUAAAUGUUUUCAUUAUUUACGUAAAAGCUUUAAAUGUAAAUGUUGCUAUUUAAAAACAUCAGGGAAUGUAACAUUGUUAAACAUGAACUCCCUUUCACACACGCGGGGGUACGAUACGAAGGGAGAGUUUCAGGCCUAGGUCUCGGUUUUGGUAGGGUCAUGCCAAGUGUUUGCAGUAGGGGGCGAUGUUGCUACACGGACGGACAAACGGACAAAUGGACGGACGAUAUAAUAUAUUGGUGGCUAGGUCCACUUCGUUCUUACCAGUAUAAGUAACAUAACUGGUAGAUAAGUAAGUACAGUUUUAGCACUGGUAGAUUGCGCACAGCGCAGAUAAUAGCGGCACUACGGUAAAGCCUUUGCCUCGCCCCCACCUCUCUCCCCCCAGCUGCCCUACCCCCCAACCCCCACCUAUCCCUCCCCCCAGCUCUCCCGUCGCAGGUUUGGACCUUGGAAGCUGUAGUCUGGGGACCGCAAGGUUGGCGUGUAGAUGUCGGUGUCGUAGGGGUCGGCCAGCAGGCCGUCCACAGACCCUCGGCGCAGCCGCAAGCCCGUCUUGUACUUGUCUGACAUCUGCAGGAGCCUCAUGGCGUCCUCCCUCUUCAUGUCCUUGAACGCCAGAAAAAAAUGUGACUCUGGAAACAGCUGGCUUCUCGGUGGGACGUGGAACCUUCCCGGCUCACCUUCGUUGACUUGCAAGUGCUGCCGCAAAGAGUCCUUUUGCACAUCCUUGAUGAAGAUGCCAUCCUGUCCGCGGUCCUCGAUC
This is a long non-coding RNA of Lethenteron reissneri (Far Eastern brook lamprey), 1601 nucleotides long. RefSeq lists it as uncharacterized. The record is from RefSeq and is a predicted model, not a curated record. NCBI's taxonomy places the organism in Eukaryota, Metazoa, Chordata, Hyperoartia, Petromyzontiformes, Petromyzontidae.